Long non-coding RNA from Gopherus flavomarginatus (Mexican gopher tortoise), 9248 nucleotides. RefSeq lists it as uncharacterized. NCBI's taxonomy places the organism in Eukaryota, Metazoa, Chordata, Testudines, Testudinidae. The transcript is spliced from 7 exons. The record is from RefSeq and is a predicted model, not a curated record.
UGGGAAUGCUUCUGUGCCCUCAUUUCCCAACUGAGUUUCUAUCUGUGCUCUGCUUUCUCCCAUCCCCACCCCCUUUAUGAAUUGAGGGGGAGAAAUCCAGACCAUGCAGCCUGGUAAAAAGCCUUUUAGAAGGAAAAAUGGCUGCCUGGUAUCUUGAAGAUUUCAAAGUGGUUUCCUUGGAUUAACAGAAAUAUUCUGAACUCUACAAAGAAAACCAAAUCCUUUUCUGGGAACAGAAUUCUUUGACAUCCCAUCUCUGCUCAUCAGGGCACUUCCAUUCCAUCUGAUGGUGAACAAUAUAUGCCACCCAACAGUACAGGGCCUAGGAUGAUUAUGAUUCAGAGGCUGAUGAGCCCCACCCCUUCCCAAUAGAAACGAGAUACAUCCACGGAUCUGGAGGUCAAGAUGCCUCUGAGGCUGUAGGGGAUUGAAUUACAUUGAGUAAUUUCUGCCACAGGAAUGCAACUGCUAGACUAUCCUUGGUUCAGACAACUGUUGUGGCCCAUGAGGAAGGAGCAGAAGCUAAUAAUGAAAGGCAGCCAGCCUUGAUCUGAUGACAUCCAGAGAUGGUGAAUCCUCCACUUGUUCUUGUGAGCGGAAGAGCACAUGCAUGUGGAUCAGGUGGAAUGAAAGAAGAAGACUGUCUUACAUGUUCUCAGAGCUUGUUCAUUCAUCCAGACACCCACCCAAACUGCCUUCAAAAAACAGAAAAAUGACUCCUCUUGACCCUCUUUUAUAUUCUCCUAUAGAUGUUUCUCAUGAAUUAAGCUGUGUGGGAUAUCUCCAAGUUCCCAUCUGUUUGCACUGGGAUCACAGAGCUCUCUCUUGUGAUUUUAAAAAUAUGUUUUGUGCUGAACAUUUCUGAAAAUGAAAAUACACUUUUCCCCCGAACUUUCAUUGAUACUGAUCCUAAUACCAAUCUAGCUCGUGAUCUCUUUACAACAUUAGAUAAGUUGAAGAAUUUUGUGUUGAAGAAUUUUUGUCUCUGAUCUGCAGUGCAGAUUUCAGGCCUAAGCCACCUGCCAUUUACCACUGUCAGAAGACAGGACACUGGGCUAGAUGGACCUUUGUUCUGACCCAAUAUGACUGUUUUUAUGUAAUCCUGUUCCUUUGAAAAUCAAUGAGAGGAAGAUUGGGCUCCUCAAAUGCAUGUUUUAUACUUAUUCCGUAGGUUGAACUCCCAUGGCUAUCAGUGGAAGUGCUGGACAGAGAACAAAUGAAGAAUAUGCUAUGGAUAUCUGCAGUAGAGCUCAGAUAAGAUGCUUUUAAAAGCCCAUGAUGCUUAUAUGUCUGCAUGUAUACAUAUUCAAGCCUACCUGGAACCCUAGCUAUAUAGCCAUGAUUUUUGGCAUGUGGGGACUUUUUCCUGACGGGUGGAUGGACGCUGUGGUAACUGUUCAGUUGAUUUCACCAGGAAUCUCAAGUACUGCCAAGUUAAACCCCAGACUGCAUAGCUGGUUUAUAAAGAGCUCCAGGAGCUCGGCAACAACAAUACAGUGAUGCAAAGGACCCAACCAGCGAACUCUGGGGAUCACGAGGUUUCUUCCUCCCUCAAGGUAACAUUCUGUAAGAAUGGAGUUUGGUUGGGGUCAUAGUAAGGAGAAAAAAAUAGUGGAACUAUUUUCAUGCACCACUUUCCAUACUCACUCCUCUUUGGGCACUUCUCCCUUUGCCUUUUCAUGAUGUCUUCUGCUGCUCUCUCCUGGAGCUUGCUGUCCCACUCCCUUUGAGGCUCAUCGGUGCUUUCUUUUGCUGUCCGUUGGAGGCUGCUUGCCUCUUUUUCCUGUUUUCUGUGGAAGUAGCAUCAUCUCAUUCCCUGUCAUCUCCUUCCCCUUCAGCUGGCAUGAAUGAAAUUUGGGUUAGGUGGCAGAAAGAAGAUGGCAUGCUAGACCUUUACUUUUGCAGAUUAGGGAACCAAUUGGUUGACUAUGCAGAAGACCCCAAGUAUGUUUCAACCAGACCUGGAAAUUCUCACUGAAAUCAAUGAGAGCUACAUACAUGUAUCUGAGAGCAGAACUCAGCCUUUAAGAAUUAAAAAUCUUGUUUUCAAACGUCAUACAGUUGAGAGAAGAGAAAAGCAGAGCAUAUGUUUAUAAGCAAAAUAAUUUGUAAACAGUGGGCCAGAUUAUCAGCUUUUUGUCCAGCUGUUUUGCCAUUCUCAAGCAACAAGAAGCAGCCCUUUAACUCCCCUAAUAGCUUUGGGGUCUCCUGGCAUAGGGCAUUCCCCAUGGUACAUAACCAUAGCUUUGCCACUUGCUUUCCCUAGGUUAGGAUGUGGCUGGAGUGUGCAGUGUUCCAGAAAUCUCCUGUCACAAGAACAGUCCAUAGGGACUAAAAAGUGCAGAAAAUCCUACAAUUAGCAUGAUGCAAGAGUGAGUGGUUAAACUGGGCUGUGUAUAUUAAGAUCACGCAGCAAGCUGUAGAUCUCUGGAUCUCUCCAGAAGGAUUCUCAACUUGAAAUAGCUGGAAGUGUCUUUGUGGUGUUCAAGUUUUCUGUAUUUAGUGAACAUUAAGGUUCUGAUAGCUCAGCAGGAAAUUAUCAGUUUUUCAAGUUUCCAGAUUUCUAGAUUCCCCUCUGCCAGUCUUAGAUUCAAGACAUCAAAGACCUGACUGCACGGGUGUAUACCUUAAAUUACCCAGUACAAAAAUACAGUUAUGUUAGAUAUGUCUUAUUGAUUCUACCUGAACAAAACAGUGGAGCAAAUCACUGUUAUCUAUCCUAUUAUCAACCGCAGAGCUCAGGAGCAAAGCUGCUUAAAAAUGUGGCUAUUUUGCACAAUUGAGCACCUUUUCAGUAGGACAGGUGAACUCCUCCAGAUAAAACAAAAACCAGUGACCUGAAACACCAUUCAUAAUUUGGAAUGAACUCUAACAGCAGGGUUUUGAUGUUCUUUUUUUUUCCAUGUUUUUUUAAUUUUCGUGGCAGUCUCUUCUUUCUAGGUUCUCAGAGAAACCAUACUUGCAGUGUUUCUGACCUGGUGGUAGCAGAAUGUAUCUUUACACAUCAUAUUCCUGAAUCAUGCCAUAUUUCUAGCUCAGUUUUUCCACUUCUGAGAGUUUAGGUGUGAAAUCUAGGGUUACCUGGACUGAUCCUCUGAAAAAAUUGACAUUUUUAACACCUGGGCAUAUAUGCCCUAGCUUUAUCUCAGCAGAUGAGAAGGGUUAGAACUUCUGGGGUGGGUUUAAUUCUUGUAGCAGAAAAAUGAGUUGAUACAGACUAAAGCUGUUCUUUACUAGCCUUUUUUUAUAUAUAAUAUGCAUAUAGUUCCUACCAAUGCUGUAGCUGAAAGAGCAAAAAUAGAAGCAAAGCUUACAUAUAUACAGCACAAGAUUUCAAAAACUCAUCAAAGCAGCUCUGGUCAAAAUGUUAGUCAGGCCAUUUGCACACAUAAGCUGUUCCCAAAAGCUAAGCAAAACUUGUGUGCCUUAAUUCCACUCCAAACAGAUUCAAAUCUCUUGGUAACAAAAUGUGUAUGUGGCUGUCCUUCAAAGAAAAGAAAAGAAAAAAAAGGAAAAGAAAACUCACAGCCCACUGUGUCCAGCUCCAGAUAGGUACCAACAUGUCUAGGGAUUGUCUGGAUUAGUACAUUAAACUAUUUUAAGAUGACAUAUUUGCAGGAAGUUCAGCUUUUGAAAUGUGAUUCCCUCUUUAAAAGCCUUAAGCAUUGAUGGGUAAAUUAAGCCAAGGAAUAAGCAGGUGAAAAUCCUGUUGCCUUCAAUGAGAUUUGCACCGAUUUAUGACUCAAAUUAAAUCCAAUCCAUGUAUUAACCCCCAUGGAAACCUUUCAGGAAGUCUCCCUUGAGGUAUUCAUUUCAAUAAAGAUAUUGAUUGAAUAUCUUUAUCGCUUUUCAAGUAAAGUUAGCAUGAAUUUUCAGUUUUUUUGAGGCAAAAAUAUGCAUGAAAUCAAACUAUUUUUACCCCUUUUUUGACCCAAGUGGUUAGCUAACUUUCAGGGUUGUGUGAGUUGUUUCAGUUAGGAGGAGAAAUUAGUGAUGGAGUCAAGUAUUUCUUUGCUACAGUCUUGUUUGUUACAGAGAAUAUACAUAAUGUCCUGUUUCCCUGAACACAAGAGUCAAGCAACAAGAGACACUUCCUUUGCUCACAGUUCCAAGUCCCAUUCAAGCCAGCACAUAGCCCAAGAACUCUCUAUCUCUCUCACCUUUUUCUCAGGGUGGCCCUGUCAAUGCUCUGUGACUGUGUCUGGUUCUUCCUUGCUGCCCUCUCUCUCCGCUUCAUUGGUCUUCUGCUGCUUCUUUCAUAGACAAACACACCUCCAACCCAACAAUAGCCAGUGAAACCUCUCUGCCAACAUGUGCCUGUGUUUUGGGUGGAGGAUCCUAUUGUUUCAGCCACCUACAUCUAUAAAAAGCUUAAUUGUUUCUUACAUGGAUCCCAAAAGGAGGGUCACUGCUACACUCACCAGUUUCAACAAGGUUUAAUCCAAUCCAGAACACGCAGUAUUUUUGUACACACGCAAACAGCCAGAGUAAAACAGGGCCCAAAAUUCACUGACUUACACAAAAUCUGGAUUUUUAAAAAAAAAGGAACAAAAAGAGCUGGCAUUUUCUGUGACUUUUAUGUCCAUCAGGAAGGACUAUUCCUAUUUUUAGCAGAGCACUGUGCCAACAGAUGGUUGGACAUGAGGAAAUUAUUCUUGGAUCAUGAUGGAGGAAAACAGCCCCUCUUUCCUCCAAGUAUUAACUAAUACGACACAUAUAUGUAUAAUAAUCAUCAGAGAUCUGACAUUUAUACAACAUCUUUCAUUCUGGAGAAUCUUAAAAUAUUGUACAAACUACACAUACAUUUUGGGAUUUUAAAAGCAACAUGAGGGAAGUUAUCCUCAUAUCUUCCACAUUUGAAAACUUUGAUUUAAAUUCACAAGUAGUUUGCUAUAAACAUGUAACACCACUGAGCUGAGGGCAAAUGGCACAGCCUAUAGCUUAAGAGUGAGAUGAGGCAAUUUUUUGCUUGGAAGACCAUAGUAACAUGUUUAAUCUUAUGAAAUAUGCCAUUGGGUUUUCAGUCCUCUUGGAGACAGACUUGAUCUUGGUUUUUUAAGGUCCUAUCUAUGGCAUCUUUGUUCAUUCCCAUUUGGCUGCAGCAUAACAUUACCACUAUAUGGGAUAAAAUAUGCCUCCAGUACUGUCCCAUGAACUUGGCACAUCACUUUCAAGCAGGGCUGGCGCUACCAUUUAGGCAGCCUAGGCAAUUGCCUAGGGCGCCAGAAUAAAUGGUGGGCGCCGUUUUGCCGGAGGGGGCGGCAGGCGGCUCCGGUGGAGCCGCCGCAGUAGUGCCUGCGGACGGUCAGGUGCUCGCGCGGCUCCGGUGGACCGCCCACAUCACUGCGGCAGCUCCAUUGGAGCCGCGGGACCAGCGUGCGGGGCAGCGAAAUUGCCGUCCGCCUAGGGCGCUCAAACCCGUAGCGCCGGUCCUGCUUUCAAGCACUGAUGCUUCCAAAAAAUGCCCCUCUCUUCCACAGCGGUGUCAUGCGGUGAAGCCAAAGGGAUAGGGACUCAAACAAAUAAGUGUUGUAAUCACUGAAAUAAAUGUGUAUUAUUUAGUAACCUUAAUUAAAAUCCUGGCAGAUUCUGGAGCCCAGACUUCUUGCUUUGUGUUGCUAAUCACAAAGCCCGCUUUUUAUGUGGCGUCACAUUAUCAAUGCAUUCUCUGCUGACUGACUUUUCCUUUAUUUCCAGGCGUUAGUUCAUGACUACCUAUUUUCUCACUCUUCAGAAAUGUCUAUAGUUUGUCAUGCUUCAGCUUUAUGACUCUUGGCAUGAGCCCCUAGAGGCAAAUGGGCAACUGCUGCUCUCAUGCUACCAUGAACGUGCCCGAUUCUUCUCCCAGUCACAAAAUGCUGAGAUUAGCCACUGACAGUUAAAUUCAUGCAUAGUUGGUUAAUAUGAUGUGGUAUGUGAAACAAUCCAAUCCUGGUCACAAAUUCCUGGCAUUUUUAUAUUAUGUUUCCAUCCUUAUUUUGAAAUUGUGAAAUACGUUUGUUACCAUGAGUUAGAGUAUUUCUCCAAGUACUAACAAAAAAAAUAAUUAAAAACUGAAAUUGUUUCCUUGUACUGUCUGUGCCUCUGUAUCCACUUCUCUUGUCUUAGUCUUAGAUUGUAAGUUUUUGGGUCAGAAACCAUGUUUUUGUUCUGUAUUUGUACAGUGCCUAGCACAAUAGGGUCCUGGCCCAUGACUGGGGAUCUUAGGCAUUACCACAAUUCAAGUAAAUUUAUAAUUAUAGUAAUAAAAAUAAUGAUAAUGCAGUAAUUUGAGCUGAUCUAUCCUAAAGAAACACAAAUCAGUGAAAAAAUAAUGAUGGUGAUAGUUUUACAAUACAUACUAGUUUUUCUUUUAAUGAAUUCAUUGCUUGCGAGAGGUAGAUCAUCAGACUCAGAUACUACAGUCCAUUUAUGAAUAACAAAAGUUCAACAUGAGCAGCAGUACUGCAGGCUUUCUCACAGUAUCUCACCGAUCUGUUUCAACCCAGCUAUGAAGGGAGGAAAUGAGAAAGUAGCUUAUUCUGGCCCAUUCCAUCCUUGGAUUUCAGUUUUGAUGGCAAUCCUUAGUCACCAGGAACCCUCACUGAGACACCAAGCCAUUUCAAAUCGUAAGCUACUGAAGAACUGUCAUAAGGUAAUGACUUUCCCUCACUAACAACUCGCCUGGCUUCAGUCCGAUGAACUAGAAUGAAAGGCUCUGAGAUUUAUCAGCACCAAGCUCUUGAGCCAUUUGUGGGAGCAGCUAUUGUUAUGUAAGGAUGUGGGGGAAGUGGCAGAGACCAAAGGCCAUCUUCCAUUUGGAACGGCAGGGCUUUGAAUUCUAGGGCGGGAGAUAGAAUGGUGGCAGGUAGCAGCUUACAGCAGGAUCUCUUUUCUGGGUUAUAUAGUGCCUGAAUUAAAAUAACUGUUAAAUAAAAGCUCUCUAUGCCUUAAUAAGAACACUGCCACAUCAUUCAGUGCCCUGCUCCACAAUAUGUCUCAGAUUUAUUGCCAUAAAAGCACAGGGCAAAUCUAGAUACUGUGUGAGCCACAUGAAGACCCUGUCCGAUACACAUAGUGACCCUGUGCCUCCUAUCUGACACCCAGCCUCCUGUGGUUCUCUCCUGACUCCAUAUCAGCAUGGCUCCAAUAAAACCAUGCUGACAAUGCUUCCACCAAUCUCUGGAAUCCCACUUUAAAGAAGGCUGUGCAGGCAGAGGUGGUGCAUGAAAAAGUUAAGGUUGCCUCAGGUUUUAUUUACUUCUCCAAGGCUUGAAAAGGAGUGGGAUGUUGUGCAUCCCCCUUAGCUCUGCCCCAGCCCUCCUUCUAUUCCUGUCCUGUACAGUCCCCACUCUCUCCAUUUUACACUUUGAAUUUCUUGACUGUUUUCUGGAUAACUUUAUAACUUUAAACCUGCACUAAGAGGGCUUUUUUUUUCACUUAAUUUCCUUAGGAUUUAAAAAAAGAAAAAGAAGAGAAAAGGAACUAAUAUAUAUAUUUAAUAUGACACAUAUGUCAAUGAUAACUUAAGGGCCACUAAUUAAGAGUUUCAUAUUACUUCAUAUGAAGCACCUUUCAUAUGACCUUACCACUUAAUGUACAGUCAUACCACGUUAUUAGAGGGAAUGAGGCUGUGCUAAAUGACCUUGGGAGUUACAGGUAUGAGGCACUUCAGAGUUUAAUACUUUGUUUAUUAUUUCCCAUAAUUAUGUCACUGAAUUACUGAGAUUGUUGUAUAAACAUUAUUUAACAUUCAGAUUACUUAAAAAGUCUAAAUGAAGCUUUGAAAUAAAUUCAGAUUGAUUCCUAGGGAAUUGCUGAAUAAGAGAACCAAACCUAGAAAACAAAACCUGCAAAGUUGUUCAGCAAAUUGUUUACCUUAGUUUGUAACUUUGCAGGAAAUGGAUUGUAAGAAAACCCUGUUUCAACCUUACAACCAGAAAAGUAUUUCAGGGACUGCCAGGGAGGACCCCUUCUGUCACUUCUGGCUCCUGCUUAUGUUUCCAGGUAGGCUAUCACAGGCCAGUUCCAUUCAUCUUUCUCAGACAUGGACAGUGGUUGGAGGCUCCAGGAUCAGUGAUAAUAAAGGAGGGUUGGGCAAAAGUAACCUCAGUUCUACUCCACCUAGAAAUUUCUCCCUCAGAGCCAUCAAUCAUAAAAGAGUUGAUUACAUUUACCACCUUAGAGACGUUGACAUGCCUGCCAUAAGCUUUUGUGAGGAUUUCAGAUUUACUGUCUCCUGAGGGAUUCCAUUUACAUUGUUCAGGUACCAUAGUAUGUUGUGUGGGUUUGGUGCAGCAGAGCACAAUCAUGUUUUAACCUUUACCCAUUUGAUAAAUAGGAUCAUAGCUUUUAGGCUGAGGAUGAAGUGCCCUGGUAGUAAAGGUUAAAACAGUCUCCUCACUGAUUGUGGGGGCAAGUGGGUGAUUGGCAGCCAUCAUUUUCCCAAGGUUGGGAAUUAAGGUAUAUAAUAUUGUUAAUAAAUUGUAAACACACUAUCUGGAGUAGACAUGGGAUGUGUCAGCAGAUAUAGGCAGCCUAUAUGUGUGGAGUUUUGUGAUCCAAGAACAGUAGCUAGUCAUAAACAAGCCUUGUUACAAGCUACAGUAUCCUUAGUUUAUAGGUUAGAGGACAGCUUAGGGACAUCAUGCCCCCGCUAAGUGGUGAAUGUGUUCUGAAAGGACUGAGGCCAGCGAUGGGAAAAGGACUGUCCUUGCCUCUCUCCUUUCAUCAGCUGCCAGCUCACUUAGCCUGUGGGUCUAGUUUGUUUUUGUUUGUCUAGUAAUCAAGCUGUGGCCUCUUUAAUCAUCAGAACAUAACUAUUCUUUUCUUGUUCACAUGUGGCUAUGACCCGCAGCUCCAUCACAAUUCCCUUCUACUGCAUGUAACAUGAGCGUAACAUAGCCUCGUAAAACAUGCUCCACCAGCAGCUUGAUAGCCUCAGUUCAGACUCCCAUGUUGUAUAUACUCAAACCACCACAUUUCUCAGUACAAUUUGCCACUAGAGAGUAGCUCUCUAAAAUGCAAAGCUUUAGGCUAGAGAGGCAAUUGAUUCUUGAUUCUUAUUUACUUAUUGAGUAUGAACAUAAUUAGACUUUCAUCACAAAAUAUUAUCAUUAGCUGGUGCGAGUUUUGUUUGACGGGCCUGAUAAUCAAUCAUCAGAUUUCACCACUUGUUUUGUGGCGUUGUAUUUCAUCACUUGGUACAGUAUGUAACAUUAUAAAGCAUAAGUUUGUUAACUGAGUAUUUAUUUGAAUGGGUUUCAUUA